CCUGGUUGAUCCUGCCAGUAGUCAUAUGCUUGUCUCAAAGAUUAAGCCAUGCAUGUGUAAGCACACACUGUUUUAAAAGUGAAGCCGCGAAUGGCUCAUUACAACAGCCACAGUUUAUUAGAACUUACAAUCAUGGAUAACUGUGGUAAUUCUAGAGCUAAUACACGCACAAAAACUUCAACUGAAUUGGUUGAAGUGCUUUUAUUAGAACAAAAACCGAACGGCGUUUGACGAAUGUUGAACGUCGAAACUGUUUGGUGAAUCUGAAUAACUAUUUCUGAUCGCAUGGUCUAGCACCGGCGACAUCACUUUCAAGUGUCUGCCUUAUCAACCUUCGAUGGUAGUCUAUGCGACUACCAUGGUGAUAACGGGUAACGGAGAAUCAGGGUUCGACUCCGGAGAGGGAGCCUGAGAAACGGCUACCACAUCCAAGGAAGGCAGCAGGCGCGCAAAUUACCCACUCCCAGCUUGGGGAGGUAGUGACGAAAAAUAACGAGACGAUUCUCGUUUGAGAAACGUUAUCGAAAUGAGUACGCUUUACACACGCUAACGAGUAGCAAUUGGAGGGCAAGUCUGGUGCCAGCAGCCGCGGUAAUUCCAGCUCCAAUAGCGUAUAUUAAAGUUGCUGCGGUUAAAACGCUCGUAGUUGAAUUGUGGUCUUAGACAACAGUCCCCCUACAUAGGUGUGGCACGGUUGCUCGAGAUCUUCAUUCGUGGUUGCUGUUGUUGCUCUUCAUUGAGUGUCAAUGGUGCCUCGAGAUUUUACUUUGAAAAAAUUAGAGUGCUCAAAGCAGGUUGUGAUGCCUGAAUAAUGGUGCAUGGAAUAAUAGAAUACGAUCUCGGUUCUAUUUUGUUGGUUUUCGAACCGGAGAUAAUGAUUGAAAGGAACAGACGGGGGCAUUCGUAUUGCUGCGUUAGAGGUGAAAUUCUUGGAUCGCAGCAAGAUGAACAAUUGCGAAAGCAUUUGCCAAGAAUGUUUUCAUUAAUCAAGAACGAAAGUUAGAGGUUCGAAGGCGAUCAGAUACCGCCCUAGUUCUAACGGUAAACUAUGCCAACCAGCGAUUCGCCGAAGUUCAUUUAAGACUCGGCGAGCAGCUUCCGGGAAACCAAAGUGUUUCGGUUCCGGGGGAAGUAUGGUUGCAAAGCUGAAACUUAAAGGAAUUGACGGAAGGGCACCACCAGGAGUGGAGCCUGCGGCUUAAUUUGACUCAACACGGGAAAACUCACCCGGCCCGGACACUGGAAGGAUUGACAGAUUGACAGCUCUUUCUUGAUUCAGUGGGUAGUGGUGCAUGGCCGUUCUUAGUUGGUGGAGCGAUUUGUCUGGUUAAUUCCGAUAACGAACGAGACUCUACCCUAUUAAAUAGUGACAGUAUUGUAUUUUUUGUGCUGAUCACUUCUUAGAGGGACUGGCAAAUUGAAAGCUGCACGAAAAAGAGCAAUAACAGGUCUGUGAUGCCCUUCGAUGUCCGGGGCUGCACGCGCGCUACAAUGAAAGCGUCAACGUGAGUUACGUCCUUACCUGAAAAGGUUUGGCAAUCGAAUGAAACGUUUUCUUGAAUGGAAUAGGGAAUUGCAAUUGUUUCCCUUGAACGAGGAAUUCCCAGUAAGCGUGAGUCAUUAGCUCGCGUUGAUUACGUCCCUGCCCUUUGUACACACCGCCCGUCGCUACUACCGAUUGGAUGAUUUAGUGAGGUGUUUUGACUGGCGCCAGUAGUCGGAUGUAUUCGGCUUCGCGCCGGGAAAUUUCCCAAACCAAAUCAUCUAGAGGAAGUAAAAGUCGUAACAAGGUUUCCGUAGGUGAACCUGCGGAAG
Molecule: ribosomal RNA, 1815 nt
Filed under: Trichinella nativa
Lineage: Eukaryota; Metazoa; Nematoda; Enoplea; Trichinellida; Trichinellidae
Description: SSU rRNA
Rfam family: Eukaryotic small subunit ribosomal RNA
Source: RNAcentral